CCUACGGGUGGCAGCAGUCGAGAAUCAUUCACAAUGGGGGAAACCCUGAUGGUGCGACGCCGCGUGGGGGAAUGAAGGUCUUCGGAUUGUAAACCCCUGUCAUGUGGGAGCAAAUUAAAAAGAUAGUACCACAAGAGGAAGAGACGGCUAACUCUGUGCCAGCAGCCGCGGUAAUACAGAGGUCUCAAGCGUUGUUCGGAAUCACUGGGCGUAAAGCGUGCGUAGGCUGUUUCGUAAGUCGUGUGUGAAAGGCGCGGGCUCAACCCGCGGACGGCACAUGAUACUGCGAGACUAGAGUAAGGGAGGGGGAACCGGAAGUCUCGGUGUAGCAGUGAAAUGCGUAGAUAUCGAGAGGAACACUCGUGGCGAAGGCGGGUUCCUGGACAUUAACUGACGCUGAGGCACGAAGGCCAGGGGAGCGAAAGGGAUUAGAUACCCGGGUAGUC
RNAcentral lists this ribosomal RNA (446 nucleotides) under uncultured bacterium. RNAcentral describes it as "partial 16S ribosomal RNA". It matches the Rfam family "Bacterial small subunit ribosomal RNA", at positions 338 to 795 of the family's 1533-position model. The record is from RNAcentral.